This 253-nucleotide ribosomal RNA is filed under the name uncultured bacterium. RNAcentral's name for it is "partial 16S ribosomal RNA". It matches the Rfam family "Bacterial small subunit ribosomal RNA", at positions 524 to 776 of the family's 1533-position model. The record is from RNAcentral.
UACAGAGGGGGCAAGCGUUAUUCGGAAUUAUUGGGCGUAAAGGGCGCGUAGGCGGCCUGGCAAGUGGAAGGUGAAAUCCCUCGGCUUAACCGAGGAACUGCCCUCCAAACUGCUUGGCUUGAGUCCGGGAGAGGUGAGUGGAAUUCCCAGUGUAGCGGUGAGAUGCGUAGAUAUUGGGAGGAACACCAGUGGCGAAGGCGGCUCACUGGACCGGAACUGACGCUGAGGCGCGAAAGCGUGGGGAGCAAACAGG